This 460-nucleotide ribosomal RNA is filed under the name uncultured bacterium. Its description in RNAcentral is "partial 16S ribosomal RNA". It matches the Rfam family "Bacterial small subunit ribosomal RNA", at positions 338 to 795 of the family's 1533-position model. The record is from RNAcentral.
CCUACGGGAGGCAGCAGUGAGGAAUAUUGGUCAAUGGACGAGAGUCUGAACCAGCCAAGUAGCGUGAAGGAUGACUGCCCUAUGGGUUGUAAACUUCUUUUAUCAAGGAAUAAAACGAGGCACGUGUGCCUUUUUGCAUGUACUUUAUGAAUAAGGAUCGGCUAACUCCGUGCCAGCAGCCGCGGUAAUACGGAGGAUCCGAGCGUUAUCCGGAUUUAUUGGGUUUAAAGGGAGCGUAGAUGGGUUGUUAAGUCAGUUGUGAAAGUUUGCGGCUCAACCGUAAAAUUGCAAUUGAUACUGGCAGUCGUGAGUACAGUUGAGGUAGGCGGAAUUCGUGGUGUAGCGGUGAAAUGCUUAGAUAUCACGAAGAACCCCGAUUGCGAAGGCAGCUUACUAAACUGUGACUGACAUUGAUGCUCGAAAGUGUGGGUAUCAAACAGGAUUAGAUACCCGAGUAGUC